Molecule: unclassified non-coding RNA, 336 nt
Filed under: Hevea brasiliensis (rubber tree)
Lineage: Eukaryota; Viridiplantae; Streptophyta; Magnoliopsida; Malpighiales; Euphorbiaceae
Source: RNAcentral
GAUCAACCGGUAGUUUUAGAGUAAAAGUCACAUCAUUCAAGGGUUGUGGCAAAUCAGGGUUCACAGCGUAUUGAAUCAUCACGGAAAGUAAAGUCCCCCUAUGACGUUGUAUGAGACGAACUCUCAAAGGCAAUGGGGUUAAUCUGGGUAGCAAACUAUACUUAAUAAUUGGUAUGGGUUCAUUUGAAGGCGCUGUUCGCACGUGAAACAUUCCAUUUCCAAGACUACUAACACGAGAACCCUGCACAACAAAUCGCUUAACUGGAGCUGUAUCUUCGACACGAAAUGAAAACUCUGUUUCUUUGUCAUCCGAAGUUUUAGGUGGCAAAGUUUUCA